This 1230-nucleotide ribosomal RNA is filed under the name uncultured Halomonas sp. Its description in RNAcentral is "bacterial SSU rRNA". It matches the Rfam family "Bacterial small subunit ribosomal RNA", at positions 148 to 1379 of the family's 1533-position model. The record is from RNAcentral. Lineage: Bacteria; Pseudomonadati; Pseudomonadota; Gammaproteobacteria; Oceanospirillales; Halomonadaceae.
CUGGGGAAACCCAGGCUAAUACCGCAUACGUCCUACGGGAGAAAGGGGGCUCCGGCUCCCGCUAUGGGAUGAGCCUAUGUCGGAUUAGCUAGUUGGUGAGGUAACGGCUCACCAAGGCGACGAUCCGUAGCUGGUCUGAGAGGAUGAUCAGCCACAUCGGGACUGAGACACGGCCCGAACUCCUACGGGAGGCAGCAGUGGGGAAUAUUGGACAAUGGGCGAAAGCCUGAUCCAGCCAUGCCGCGUGUGUGAAGAAGGCCCUCGGGUUGUAAAGCACUUUCAGCGAGGAAGAACGCCUAGCGGUUAAUACCCGCUAGGAAAGACAUCACUCGCAGAAGAAGCACCGGCUAACUCCGUGCCAGCAGCCGCGGUAAUACGGAGGGUGCAAGCGUUAAUCGGAAUUACUGGGCGUAAAGCGCGCGUAGGUGGCUUGAUAAGCCGGUUGUGAAAGCCCCGGGCUCAACCUGGGAACGGCAUCCGGAACUGUCAAGCUAGAGUGCAGGAGAGGAAGGUAGAAUUCCCGGUGUAGCGGUGAAAUGCGUAGAGAUCGGGAGGAAUACCAGUGGCGAAGGCGGCCUUCUGGACUGACACUGACACUGAGGUGCGAAAGCGUGGGUAGCAAACAGGAUUAGAUACCCUGGUAGUCCACGCCGUAAACGAUGUCGACCAGCCGUUGGGUGCCUAGCGCACUUUGUGGCGAAGUUAACGCGAUAAGUCGACCGCCUGGGGAGUACGGCCGCAAGGUUAAAACUCAAAUGAAUUGACGGGGGCCCGCACAAGCGGUGGAGCAUGUGGUUUAAUUCGAUGCAACGCGAAGAACCUUACCUACUCUUGACAUCCUGCGAAUUUGGUAGAGAUACCUUAGUGCCUUCGGGAACGCAGAGACAGGUGCUGCAUGGCUGUCGUCAGCUCGUGUUGUGAAAUGUUGGGUUAAGUCCCGUAACGAGCGCAACCCUUGUCCUUAUUUGCCAGCGCGUAAUGGCGGGAACUCUAAGGAGACUGCCGGUGACAAACCGGAGGAAGGUGGGGACGACGUCAAGUCAUCAUGGCCCUUACGAGUAGGGCUACACACGUGCUACAAUGGUCGGUACAAAGGGUUGCCAACUCGCGAAAGUGAGCCAAUCCCGAAAAGCCGAUCUCAGUCCGGAUCGGAGUCUGCAACUCGACUCCGUGAAGUCGGAAUCGCUAGUAAUCGUGGAUCAGAAUGCCACGGUGAAUACGUUCCCGGGC